GACGAACGCUGGCGGCGUGCUUAACACAUGCAAGUCGAACGGAAAGGCCCUGCUUUUGUGGGGUGCUCGAGUGGCGAACGGGUGAGUAACACGUGAGUAACCUGCCCUUUACUUUGGGAUAACUUCAGGAAACUGGGGCUAAUACCGGAUAGGAGCUCCUGCUGCAUGGUGGGGGUUGGAAAUUUUCGGCGGGUGGGGAUUGACGCGCGGCUUAUCAGCUUGUUGGUGGGGUAGUGUCUUACCAAGGCUUUGACGGGUAGCCGGCAUGAGAGGGUGACCGGCAACAUGGGGACUGAGAGACGGCCAAGACGCUUACGGGAGGAAGCAGUGGGAAUAUUGCACAAUGGGCGGAAGCCUGAUGCAGCAACGCCGCGUGCGGGAUGACGGCCUUCGGGUUGUAAACCGCUUUCGCCUGUGACGAAGCGUGAGUGACGGUAAUGGGUAAAGAAGCACCGGCUAACUACGUG
Molecule: ribosomal RNA, 467 nt
Filed under: uncultured bacterium
Lineage: Bacteria
Description: partial 16S ribosomal RNA
Rfam family: Bacterial small subunit ribosomal RNA
Source: RNAcentral